UGGACCAAGAGAAGGAACCAGCUUUGGAAC
RNAcentral lists this non-coding RNA (30 nucleotides) under Homo sapiens (human). The record is from RNAcentral. Lineage: Eukaryota; Metazoa; Chordata; Mammalia; Primates; Hominidae.